UAACUGCUAAGACACGGUAUGGGUAGUCCAAGCUUGGUGGUGUAGAUGGUAUAAACACAUUAAACCGUGGCCUGAAGGCACCGUUCAUUUCAUAUGCAUGAAUCUCACUCAGAGUUGACUAUUAAUCUCGCACAAAAAGAUGGUCUGCCACUCUCCGCAAAGUCUACUUCCUCCAACUUGUUGACCGGAACAGCUACAUGUGCCCCCGUACUUCUCUUGUUUUUUCCAAUCUUCCAAAAGCAUCAAAAACCUAUAUAUGCUUUUGUCACCUAAAGCUUGUUUCCAUGUCUUCUUUUUGAUUUAUUCAUGUACUUUGUUGAUUUUAGUGUUUAUUUCUGUUAAACACAAUUUGUUUUAUUCAACUUUUUUUUUCCAUCAGAAAAUGUAAUCUCAGUUGACUAAUGUCAAUGAGUUAAUCUACUCCAUAAGUAAACAUGUUUUAUUCAAAGUUAAGCGGUUUUACACGGAUCAUCAAGAUUCAAGAAACAAGAAACCAAAAAAAGAAACAAGAAGCGACCACUGAUUCAACAUACGGAAGAAGAGAUCCGGAUCCGGAUCUAAGCUUUGGAUCCGGACUUGUGGAGGUAGAGUUUUCCGAAGACGUGAANNNN
RNAcentral lists this long non-coding RNA (611 nucleotides) under Brassica napus (rape). RNAcentral describes it as "long non-coding RNA (BNAP_LNC005096)". Lineage: Eukaryota; Viridiplantae; Streptophyta; Magnoliopsida; Brassicales; Brassicaceae. The record is from RNAcentral.